UUGAACGCUGGCGGCGUGCCUAACACAUGCAAGUCGAGCGGCAGCGGGCCCGCAAGGGUGCCGGCGAGCGGCGGACGGGUGAGCAAUACAUAGGAAUCUACCUUAGAGCGGGGGAUAGCCCGGGGAAACCCGGAUUAAUACCGCAUGAUGUCGAGAGACCAAAGUGGGGGACCGUAAGGCCUCACACUCUGAGAUGAGCCUAUGUCGGAUUAGCUAGUUGGCGGGGUAACGGCCCACCAAGGCGACGAUCCGUAGCUGGUCUGAGAGGACGAUCAGCCACACCGGAACUGAGACACGGUCCGGACUCCUACGGGAGGCAGCAGUGGGGAAUAUUGGACAAUGGGCGAAAGCCUGAUCCAGCGACGCCGCGUGGGUGAAGAAGGCCUUCGGGUUGGU
Molecule: ribosomal RNA, 396 nt
Filed under: uncultured bacterium
Lineage: Bacteria
Description: bacterial SSU rRNA
Rfam family: Bacterial small subunit ribosomal RNA
Source: RNAcentral